RNAcentral lists this small RNA (509 nucleotides) under Pan troglodytes (chimpanzee). RNAcentral describes it as "retained intron". The record is from RNAcentral. Lineage: Eukaryota; Metazoa; Chordata; Mammalia; Primates; Hominidae.
UUGCCACCCAGCUCUUCAACUUGCUCUCGGGAGAGGUAGGUGCCUGGGUCCCUGGGGGAUUCCCCGCCCACCUGUGAACCCAGUGCCUUCAAUGACAGGAACCUCAAACCCUGACCCCAGACCCUGACUGUGCAGCUCCAGGAGCCCCGCCUCCUCCCACAGUGGCCCCUGCGCCGCCUUCCCCCACAGGGUUACCUGGAAUGGUCCCCUCUCUUCUAUGGCUUCUACCCGCCCCGCCCACGCCUGGCGGUCACCUACCUGUGCUGGGCCUUUGCCGUUGGCCUCAUCUGCCUCCUGCUCAUCCUGCAUCGCUCGGUGUCUGGGCUGAAGCAGACACUGCUGGCGGAGUCCGAGGCUCUGACCAGCUACAGCCACCGGGUGUUCUCGGCCUGGGACUUCGGUCUCUGCGGGGACGUCCACGUGCGGCUGCGCCAGCGCAUCAUCUUGUACGAAUUAAAGGUGGAGCUGGAAGAGACAGUGGUGCGGCGCCAGGCUGCGGUGCGGACGCU